AGUGAACCGGGAAGAGCUCAAAUUUGAAAUCUGGCGUCCUCAGGGCGUCCGAGUUGUAAUCUAUAGAGGCGUUUUCCGCGCCGGACCGUGUAUAAGUCUCCUGGAACGGAGUAUCAAAGAGGGUGACAAUCCCGUGCUUUACACGACGACCGGUGCUAUGUGAUACGUCUUCUACGAGUCGAGUUGUUUGGGAAUGCAGCUCAAAACGGGUGGUAAACUCCAUCUAAAGCUAAAUAUUGGUGGGAGACCGAUAGCGAACAAGUACCGUGAGGGAAAGAUGAAAAGCACUUUGGAAAGAGAGUUAAACAGUAUGUGAAAUUGUUGAAAGGGAAACGAUUGAAGUCAGUCGUGUCCAUUGGGUUCAGCCGGUCCUGCCGGUCUACUCCCUUUGGACGGGUCAACAUCAGUUUUGAUCGGCGGAUAAUGGCGUGAGGAACGUGGCACCCUCCGGGGUGUGUUAUAGCCUCKCGUCGCAUACGCUGGUCGAGACUGAGGAACGCAGCUCGCCUUUAUGGCCGGGGUUCGCCCACGUCCGAGCUUAGGAUGUUGACAUAAUGGCUUUA
RNAcentral lists this ribosomal RNA (563 nucleotides) under Kwoniella dendrophila. RNAcentral's name for it is "eukaryotic LSU rRNA". It matches the Rfam family "Eukaryotic large subunit ribosomal RNA", at positions 92 to 642 of the family's 3401-position model. Lineage: Eukaryota; Fungi; Basidiomycota; Tremellomycetes; Tremellales; Cryptococcaceae. The record is from RNAcentral.